Molecule: ribosomal RNA, 301 nt
Filed under: uncultured bacterium
Lineage: Bacteria
Description: partial 16S ribosomal RNA
Rfam family: Bacterial small subunit ribosomal RNA
Source: RNAcentral
CAGUAGCCGCGGUAAUACCGAGGGUGCAAGCGUUAAUCGGAAUUACUGGGCGUAAAGCGCGCGUAGGUGGUUUGUUAAGUUGGAUGUGAAAUCCCCGGGCUCAACCUGGGAACUGCAUCCAAAACUGGCAAGCUAGAGUAUGGUAGAGGGUGGUGGAAUUUCCUGUGUAGCGGUGAAAUGCGUAGAUAUAGGAAGGAACACCAGUGGCGAAGGCGACCACCUGGACUGAUACUGACACUGAGGUGCGAAAGCGUGGGGAGCAAACAGGAUUAGAUACCCGAGUAGUCCCUGUCUCUUAUAC